UAGCAAGAAAAUUUUUUGAAUUAGAUUUCUCGAAACCUGAGGAGCUACCUUAAUUUUGGUUUAGCCUUAGAUAAAGGUGGGUGUGGCAUAACCCUAUUUAAAAUUUAAGGUAGAAAUUAAAUGUUAUUCGUUUCAGGUGAUAGCUAGUUAUGACAUAAAGAUAUAUAAGUAUCGGAUAUAAUUUUAUUAUAUGUUUAUAUUAUAUACAUAUAAUGACUUAUUUUCUUAGUUAUGCGAGGGUAAGCUCGUAUAAAUUUAAUUUAAUUAAAAUUAUAUAUGAAUCUAGGCUUGAGAUUAGCCAUGGUUUGGAAUUUGUUAAAAAUGCAUAUAUAUACAAAAACUUUGUAAUAUAUUAAAUUUAUGUUAUUCAAUUACGUAAUUAAGGCAUGGUUGAUUUAUGCUAAAAUGAGUAUUAUUAUGAGCUAAAACAAAAAAUAAAUUAAAUUUUUUUAAAAAUUUUUUAUAAAUAUUAUAAAAUAUAUCAUAGGAACUCGGCAAAAAUUUAGCUCCGCCUGUUUAGCAAAAACAUGUCUCUUUG
This 538-nucleotide ribosomal RNA is filed under the name Cyclophorus formosaensis. Its description in RNAcentral is "partial 16S ribosomal RNA". Lineage: Eukaryota; Metazoa; Mollusca; Gastropoda; Architaenioglossa; Cyclophoridae. The record is from RNAcentral.